This 465-nucleotide ribosomal RNA is filed under the name Vreelandella stevensii. Its description in RNAcentral is "partial 16S ribosomal RNA". It matches the Rfam family "Bacterial small subunit ribosomal RNA", at positions 338 to 795 of the family's 1533-position model. The record is from RNAcentral. Lineage: Bacteria; Pseudomonadati; Pseudomonadota; Gammaproteobacteria; Oceanospirillales; Halomonadaceae.
CCUACGGGGGGCUGCAGUGGGGAAUAUUGGACAAUGGGGGCAACCCUGAUCCAGCCAUGCCGCGUGUGUGAAGAAGGCCCUCGGGUUGUAAAGCACUUUCAGUGAGGAAGAACGCCUGGUGGUUAAUACCCAUCAGGAAAGACAUCACUCACAGAAGAAGCACCGGCUAACUCCGUGCCAGCAGCCGCGGUAAUACGGAGGGUGCGAGCGUUAAUCGGAAUUACUGGGCGUAAAGCGCGCGUAGGUGGCUUGAUAAGCCGGUUGUGAAAGCCCCGGGCUCAACCUGGGUACGGCAUCCGGAACUGUCAAGCUAGAGUGCAGGAGAGGAAGGUAGAAUUCCCGGUGUAGCGGUGAAAUGCGUAGAGAUCGGGAGGAAUACCAGUGGCGAAGGCGGCCUUCUGGACUGACACUGACACUGAGGUGCGAAAGCGUGGGUAGCAAACAGGAUUAGAUACCCGAGUAGUC